RNAcentral lists this ribosomal RNA (526 nucleotides) under Salmonella enterica. Its description in RNAcentral is "partial 23S ribosomal RNA". It matches the Rfam family "Bacterial large subunit ribosomal RNA", at positions 711 to 1234 of the family's 2925-position model. Lineage: Bacteria; Pseudomonadati; Pseudomonadota; Gammaproteobacteria; Enterobacterales; Enterobacteriaceae. The record is from RNAcentral.
AGACCCGAAACCCGGUGAUCUAGCCAUGGGCAGGUUGAAGGUUGGGUAACACUAACUGGAGGACCGAACCGACUAAUGUUGAAAAAUUAGCGGAUGACCUGUGGCUGGGGGUGAAAGGCCAAUCAAACCGGGAGAUAGCUGGUUCUCCCCGAAAGCUAUUUAGGUAGCGCCUCGUGAAUUCAUCUCCGGGGGUAGAGCACUGUUUCGGCUAGGGGGCCAUCCCGGCUUACCAACCCGAUGCAAACUGCGAAUACCGGAGAAUGUUAUCACGGGAGACACACGGCGGGUGCUAACGUCCGUCGUGAAGAGGGAAACAACCCAGACCGCCAGCUAAGGUCCCAAAGUCAUGGUUAAGUGGGAAACGAUGUGGGAAGGCCCAGACAGCCAGGAUGUUGGCUUAGAAGCAGCCAUCAUUUAAAGAAAGCGUAAUAGCUCACUGGUCGAGUCGGCCUGCGCGGAAGAUGUAACGGGGCUAAACCAUGCACCGAAGCUGCGGCAGCGACGCUGAUGCGUUGUUGGGUAGGGG